RNAcentral lists this ribosomal RNA (253 nucleotides) under uncultured bacterium. RNAcentral describes it as "partial 16S ribosomal RNA". It matches the Rfam family "Bacterial small subunit ribosomal RNA", at positions 524 to 776 of the family's 1533-position model. The record is from RNAcentral.
UACAGAGGUCUCAAGCGUUGUUCGGAUUCAUUGGGCGUAAAGGGUGCGUAGGCGGCAUGGUAAGUCGGAUGUGAAAUCCCGGGGCUCAACCCCGGAACUGCAUUCGAUACUGCUGCGCUAGAGUACUGGAGAGGAGAUUGGAAUUUACGGUGUAGCAGUGAAAUGCGUAGAUAUCGUAAGGAAGACCAGUGGCGAAGGCGGAUCUCUGGACAGUUACUGACACUGAGGCACGAAGGCCAGGGGAGCAAACGGG